UGCACAUGAACCCCCGCCUGGGCGAGGGCGCCCUGGUGCGCAACAGCUUCCUGGGGGGCCAGUGGGGGUCCGAGGAGCGCGAGCUGCCCGUCAACCCCCUGCAGCGCGACCACCACUUCGACCUCUCCAUCCGCUGCGGGAACCAGCGCUUCAAGGUGUUCGCCCAGGGGCAGCCGCUCUUCACCUUCGCCCACCGGGUGCCGCCCGGGCCCCACGUCGACACCCUGGAGGUGGAGGGCGACGUCGUCCUCUCCUACGUCCACUUCUGAGCCCCCCCAGCAGCCCCACGGCGCAGCCCCCAGCCAGCCCCAGAGCUCGCCCCAGCCCCAGGGUUCACCCCCUAGCCAGCCCCACAGUUCAGCCCAUAGCCAGCCCCAUAGCUCACCCCAGCCCCAUAGAGCAGCCCAGAAUCAGCCCCGCAGCCAGCCCCAUACCUGGCCCCAUAGCCAGGCACACAGCUCACCCCAUAGCCGGCCCCAUAGCUCACCCCAUAGGGUGUCACAUCACCUGCCCCAUAGCCAGCCCCACAGCUUGCCCUAUAGCACAGUCCAUAGCCUGCCCCAUAGCCCACCCCAUAGCCAGCUCCAUAGCUCACCCCAUAGCCGGC
RNAcentral lists this long non-coding RNA (607 nucleotides) under Apteryx rowi (Okarito brown kiwi). Its description in RNAcentral is "lncRNA (ENSARWG00000010739.1)". The record is from RNAcentral. Lineage: Eukaryota; Metazoa; Chordata; Aves; Apterygiformes; Apterygidae.